ACGCUGGCGGCAGGCCUAACACAUGCAAGUCGAGCGGCAGCACAGGUACUUGUACCGGGUGGCGAGCGGCGGACGGGUGAGUAAUGCCUAGGAAUCUGCCUGGUAGUGGGGGAUAACGCUCGGAAACGGACGCUAAUACCGCAUACGUCCUACGGGAGAAAGCAGGGGACCUUCGGGCCUUGCGCUAUCAGAUGAGCCUAGGUCGGAUUAGCUGGUUGGUGGGGUAAUGGCUCACCAAGGCGACGAUCCGUAACUGGUCUGAGAGGAUGAUCAGUCACACUGGAACUGAGACACGGUCCAGACUCCUACGGGAGGCAGCAGUGGGGAAUAUUGGACAAUGGGCGCAAGCCUGAUCCAGCCAUGCCGCGUGUGUGAAGAAGGUCUUCGGAUUGUAAAGCACUUUAAGUUGGGAGGAAGGGCCGUUACCUAAUACGUGAUGGUUUUGACGUUACCGACAGAAUAAGCACCGGCUAACUCUGUGCCAGCAGCCGCGGUAAUACAGAGGGUGCAAGCGUUAAUCGGAAUUACUGGGCGUAAAGCGCGCGUAGGUGGUUUGUCAAGUUGAAUGUGAAAGCCCCGGGCUCAACCUGGGAACUGCAUGCAAAACUGGCAGGCUAGAGUAUGGUAGAGGGUGGUGGAAUUUCCUGUGUAGCGGUGAAAUGCGUAGAUAUAGGAAGGAACACCAGUGGCGAAGGCGACCACCUGGACUGAUACUGACACUGAGGUGCGAAAGCGUGGGGAGCAAAC
This 747-nucleotide ribosomal RNA is filed under the name uncultured bacterium. RNAcentral's name for it is "bacterial SSU rRNA". It matches the Rfam family "Bacterial small subunit ribosomal RNA", at positions 33 to 773 of the family's 1533-position model. The record is from RNAcentral.